GCACCAGGACCUUAAUCCCUUCGACAAUGAAGGUUGCAUUCACAAAUUCUAACGACCGGAAGGAACAUUCUAUUGCUUCAUCAUCUGUCCGUACGUAUGGCGCCUCGCAGGUAAUGGAGGCAAUGAUAUCUUCUUCCGCGUUUACGGUCACCAAUCGGCCUUCCGUUAUAAACUUGAGCUUUUAAUGUAAUGAUGACGACACUGUCCCCUCUAAAUGAAUCCAUG
RNAcentral lists this long non-coding RNA (225 nucleotides) under Gossypium barbadense (sea-island cotton). RNAcentral's name for it is "long non-coding RNA (GBAR_LNC007985)". The record is from RNAcentral. Lineage: Eukaryota; Viridiplantae; Streptophyta; Magnoliopsida; Malvales; Malvaceae.